This 68-nucleotide non-coding RNA is filed under the name unclassified sequences. The record is from Rfam.
AAUCGUCCGAUCUACCAUUUCAUUUGAUAGACCGCAGUAGGACUCAAGCCAUAGGACGGGGACUUGAG